Molecule: long non-coding RNA, 1783 nt
Filed under: Felis catus (domestic cat)
Lineage: Eukaryota; Metazoa; Chordata; Mammalia; Carnivora; Felidae
Description: lncRNA (ENSFCAG00000048111.1)
Source: RNAcentral
AUAAUAUUCUGCCUCUGUAAAUCUGCCUACCCAUGCCAGAACUUCACUUUGCACUAGGGAUGGGAGUAAGGAGAGAAUUGGCUGGUAUCCUAGUAUCCAGGCCACAAUGGGUAUGUUAUGGGCAAGAGGAAUGAGAUCUGGGUUUACUCAAUGUUUUCUCAAAUGUUCAUCAUCUAGGCCCACUGGACAUAAUGGUAUUAUGUAUGGGUAAGUUAUGGAAAUGAGUUUAGAAUAACUCAAAGAAAGGGAGCUAUAUUCCAACCGUGGAUCUUUCAAUUGCAACAAAUACAACAUAAACAUAUUAAGAGAUUUGUUUUUCAAUAUUCAAUAAUAUAUUACUUUGAGCACCAUAAUACUUUUUUUCCUACUGUUUUCUAAUAAUACAUUUUGUGGAGAAAUGUCACAAUUGAGGUUUCAGUAUAGUCUUUUUUUUUAAUUUUUUUAAUGUUUAUUUAUUUUUGAGAGAGCGAGCGAGCAUGAGUGGGGGAGGGGCAGAGAGAGAGAGAGGGAGACAUAGAACCUAAAGCAGGCUCCAUGCUCCGAAUUGUCAGCACAGAGCCUGACGCGGGCUCUAACUCACAAACCCGUGAGAUCAUGACCUGAGCCAAAGUCGGUUGCUUAACCCACUGAGCCACCCAGGCGCCCCUAGAGUCAUUUUUUAAAUGCCAACCCAAGUUUGGCAAAAGACUUGAGGGAAGUGUCUUACAUAAAAGGAAAACACUGGAGAAAAAAGGUUCAAAGAAAACAUACCUAAAUCUUAAUUUGCUAUCAAGUAAGCUGAUAAAAAGAACAUCCAGACUUUUGAUAAAUUCCCCAGUAAAAAAAAAAAGGAAACAAAGAAAAAAGAAAAAAAAUCUAAAAUUGCUGUGGAUUGACCCAACAAAGAUUCAGGUUUUCAUCAUUCUACUUAUCUAUCACAACUUUGGCUGGAAGCUAUACUCCACACAGUCAGUCACAUGGACACUAGGCUGACAUAAGCAUUUUCUUAUACUUGCACCUCUGGGACAUCUAGUCACCUGGAUCUGUGCAUCAGGAGAAGGAACAACUGGAGAGGUAUGUGCCAGCUCUUUUUCGCUUCUCCUGUAAUUAAUACACAUCAUUCUACCUACAACUCAGUUCUGAAAUUUCUCAUAUCAUGAUCCUCAACCAAUCACAUUAAAGUUGAAAAAUAUGGGAGAAACUGUGAAUAUUUGUUUACCAUCUUAUUUCUGACACAACAAUUAAGACAAAGGAAGUAGGACCAGGUGUAGUAAGUCUCUUCAGUUAUAACACCAUAUCAUCUUAUAUUUUUAUAUCAUGUAAUCCUCACCUUUACUGGCUUAUGAACCUUAUAAAAUUAUAUCACAAACCUUUAGGUUUUCCACAUAUCUUUUUAUUUUUUAUUUUUACUUUUUAAAGUUUAUUUUGAGAGACAGAGAGAGAGUGCAAGCAGGGGAGAGCCAGAGAGAGAGGGAGAGAGAAAACCCCAAGCAGGUCCUGCUCUGUCAACAUGAGGCCCAACUCGUGGCACAAACUCACAUACUGCAAGAUCAUGACCUGAGCUGAAAUCAAGAGCCAGAUGCUUAACCGACCAAGCCACCCAGGCACCCCAGUGCUUUCCACAUAUCUUUAUAUGCAUUCAGGAUGCAGUUUAUUUGCAUCAAACCAAUCCAUAUACACUUAAUCUUCCUAGUCACACAUCCACAGGAACCUUUCUCAACUUGAAUUUUUAGAAAUGUGCAUUUUGUUCUCUUCCACUAUGCUAUCUCUAGACACAGAAUAAAAUGUCUUAAGUUCUGGACCA